CGGGCUGUGGCGCAGUUUGGUUAGCGCGCUAGUCUGGGGGACUAGAGGUCGCUGGUUCAAAUCCAGUCAGCCCGACCA
This 78-nucleotide transfer RNA is filed under the name bacterium. RNAcentral describes it as "tRNA-Pro". It matches the Rfam family "tRNA". From Rfam's summary of the family: Transfer RNA (tRNA) molecules are approximately 80 nucleotides in length. Their secondary structure includes four short double-helical elements and three loops (D, anti-codon, and T loops). The record is from RNAcentral.